UACGGAGGGCGCAAGCGGUAUCCGGAAUCACUGGGUUUAAAGGGUGCGUAGGCGGCUAAAUAAGUCAGAGGUGAAAGCUUGCAGCUUAACUGCGAAAUUGCCUUUGAUACUGUAUAGCUUGACAGGAGCUGAGGUCAGCAGAAUGUGGCAUGUAGCGGUGAAAUGCAUAGAUAUGCCAUAGAAUACCAAUUGCGAAGGCAGCUGGCUGGGCUUACUUUGACGCUGAGGCACGAAAGCGUGGGGAUCGAACUGG
RNAcentral lists this ribosomal RNA (253 nucleotides) under uncultured bacterium. RNAcentral describes it as "partial 16S ribosomal RNA". It matches the Rfam family "Bacterial small subunit ribosomal RNA", at positions 524 to 776 of the family's 1533-position model. The record is from RNAcentral.